UUUCAUUCAAUUCCGUGGUUCUCUAGAAGAAGACUUUUGUAUGCAUUUCCCAUAGGGUCCUAUGUUAAACUAAGCCCCUCACUGGCAGCCAUCUUGGAUGAUGGAUCGGAGACAAAGUAACAACACUUAGUCAGCAUCUCAUAAGGAACAUUCAUGCUAUGUUUGGUUUCAUUCCAUUCAGUGGUUCUCUAAAAGAUGUCAUUUGUAUGCAUUUCCCAUAGGGUCCUAUGUUAAACUAAGUCCCCCCCUGGCGGCCAUCUUGGAUGAUGGAUCAGCUACAAAGUAACAACACUUGGUCAACACCUCAUAAGGAACAUUCAUGCUAUGUUUGGUUUCAUUCCAUUCAGUGGUUCUCUAAAAGAUGUCAUUUGUAUGCAUUUCCCAUAGGGUCCUAUGUUAAACUAAGUCCACCAUUGGCGGCCAUCUUGGAUGAUGGAUCGGCUACAAAGUAACAACACUUAGUCAGCACCUCAUAAGGAACAUUCAUGUCAUGUUUGGUUUCAUUCCAUUCAGUGGUUCUUUAGAAGAAGUCAUUUGCAUGCAUUUCCCAUAGGGUCCUAUGUUAAACUAAGUCCCCCACUGGCAGCCAUCUUGGAUGAUGGA
Molecule: long non-coding RNA, 603 nt
Filed under: Mytilus galloprovincialis (Mediterranean mussel)
Lineage: Eukaryota; Metazoa; Mollusca; Bivalvia; Mytilida; Mytilidae
Source: RNAcentral